GAUGAACGCUGGCGGCGUGCCUAAUACAUGCAAGUCGAGCGAACAGAUGAGGAGCUUGCUCCUCUGACGUUAGCGGCGGACGGGUGAGUAACACGUGGAUAACCUACCUAUAAGACUGGGAUAACUUCGGGAAACCGGAGCUAAUACCGGAUAAUCUAUUGAACCGCAUGGUUCAAUAGUGAAAGACGGUUUUGCUGUCACUUAUAGAUGGAUCCGCGCCGCAUUAGCUAGUUGGUAAGGUAACGGCUUACCAAGGCAACGAUGCGUAGCCGACCUGAGAGGGUGAUCGGCCACACUGGAACUGAGACACGGUCCAGACUCCUACGGGAGGCAGCAGUAGGGUAUCUUCCGCAAUGGGCGAAAGCCUUACGGAGCAACGCCGCGUGAGUGAUGAAGGUCUUCGGAUCGUAAAACUCUGUUAUUAGGGAAGAACAAAUGUGUAAGUAACUAUGCACGUCUUGACGGUACCUAAUCAGAAAGCCACGGCUAACUACGUG
RNAcentral lists this ribosomal RNA (497 nucleotides) under uncultured bacterium. RNAcentral's name for it is "partial 16S ribosomal RNA". It matches the Rfam family "Bacterial small subunit ribosomal RNA", at positions 28 to 507 of the family's 1533-position model. The record is from RNAcentral.